Molecule: ribosomal RNA, 463 nt
Filed under: uncultured bacterium
Lineage: Bacteria
Description: bacterial SSU rRNA
Rfam family: Bacterial small subunit ribosomal RNA
Source: RNAcentral
GGGCCCGCACAAGCGGUGGAGCAUGUGGUUUAAUUCGACGCAACGCGCAGAACCUUACCAGGGUUUGACAUCCCGUGCCACGCUCAGAGAUGGGCGGUCCCCGCAAGGGGCGCGGAGACAGGUGCUGCAUGGCUGUCGUCAGCUCGUGUCGUGAGAUGUUGGGUUAAGUCCCGCAACGAGCGCAACCCUCUCCUUUAGUUGCCAUCAUUUAGUUGGGCACUCUAAAGGGACCGCCGGCGACAAGCCGGAGGAAGGUGGGGAUGACGUCAAGUCCUCAUGGCCCUUACACCCUGGGCUACACACGUGCUACAAUGGCGGUGACAGUGGGCAGCUACCACGUGAGUGGAAGCGAAUCCCAAAAAACCGUCCCAGUUCAGAUUGCACUCUGCAACUCGAGUGCAUGAAGGCGGAAUCGCUAGUAAUCGCAGAACAGCAGGCUGCGGUGAAUACGUUCCCGGGCCUU